UACGUAGGGGGCGAGCGUUGUCCGGAAUUAUUGGGCGUAAAGAGCGUGUAGGCGGUUCGGUAAGUCUGCCGUGAAAACCUGGGGCUCAACCCCGGGCGUGCGGUGGAUACUGCCGGGCUAGAGGGUGGUAGAGGCGAGUGGAAUUCCUGGUGUAGCGGUGAAAUGCGCAGAUAUCUGGAGGAACACCGGUGGCGAAGGCGGCAUUCUGGACCAAUAUUGACGCUGAGGAGCGAAAGCCAGGGGAGCAAACGGG
This 253-nucleotide ribosomal RNA is filed under the name uncultured bacterium. RNAcentral's name for it is "partial 16S ribosomal RNA". It matches the Rfam family "Bacterial small subunit ribosomal RNA", at positions 524 to 776 of the family's 1533-position model. The record is from RNAcentral.